Monodelphis domestica (gray short-tailed opossum) is the source of this 1396-nucleotide long non-coding RNA. RefSeq lists it as uncharacterized. The record is from RefSeq and is a predicted model, not a curated record. NCBI's taxonomy places the organism in Eukaryota, Metazoa, Chordata, Mammalia, Didelphimorphia, Didelphidae.
CUUGUAUAAGGUAGGCCUUUGAUAAAUAUUUGUUGGAUUGAAUUGUUGACCUGCAAGAGAAUAGGUCUUAGAAUUAGAUGAUCUGGAUUCUAGCCCUGGCUCUGUCCUCAUAUGAGAUUUAGAAAAAAAAACCCACAAAAACAAACUUUCUAUAUUAAAGUGCAUUAAAAGCUGGGCUAGAAUCACAGCCCCAUAGACUUAGACCUGGAAGAAAAGUUGAGAUUAUCUAAUUCAAUUCUAUCAUUUUACAGAGAAGUGAACCGAGGCCCAGAGAGGUUGAAGGGUCUGCCUAAAGCCACACAGUAGUAAAUGACAGGACUGGAACUGGAGUCCAAAUACGAUGUCCAAAAAAGAGACGAGAGAAAAGAUGCAGAGAUUAGACUCUGGAAUUCCCCAGUUCCAGUUGAUAUGUCUUGUCUUGCAAUGUUAGACCUGAAUGAAGAAGAACUUCUGUGACCUCUCUUGUCCCAGUGAGCAGUAAAUUCCACUCAUGGUCAGGCCAGGUUAACGUUCCGUGGGCAUUUGAUUUCUCCACUGGCUGAACACAGUAAAUAUCGAAGCUAGACCUCAUCCUGUAAUGUUAUGCCCAUUUCUGGGCUACGUUUUUGGAAGGACACUGACAAUCUCUGCGUGUGUACAAGAAGAAAUUGACCAGAAUAAUAAGGGGACUGGAAACUCUGCCCAAACAGGACCAGCUGAAGGGGCCUGAUGUUUUGCUCAUACUGUCCUGAAGCAAGAAAUAUCUUCUGGCACCAUGACUUCCUGUACCAAAGAAGAAGCAAGUUCUUGAUACCAUACAAAGAAUGGAGCUCCUGAGUUAGAUAGUCUCCAUUUGGUUCCUGUUUAUGUGUAAGAAAUGAGCAGAGGGAAAAAGGAAUCAAUAGUUUGUUCCCUCUAUGGAUUUUCUGUGCACUUUCCAUAACUGGCUGGAUACUGCUGUACCCUGGUGUGACAUUCCUUUCCUUUCCACUGGGACUUUUAAAAACUAAAGGCAUCUAUCUGAAAAAGAAAAAAGUUAGGUUUUAUUCCUCUGAGAUCAUCAUCUCGCAAAAGAUUUAAAAAAAAAUAACAGAAUUAUAGAAUGUUAGAGCCAGAAGGGCUCUUAAAAUGUAAAACAUAAAAUGUGUGAAUGUAAAAUGUAGAACACAGAGUACCUUAACUAACUGGGAAAUUGAACAUUUAUGUUACAGGAGGAAGAGGACACAGGACAUGGAAUAUCAGAUCUGAAAGAAUCUUUAAAUUGUAUAAUCUACUAUAUACUUUUAGAGUUAUGAAGGAACUUUUGUAAUGGGCAUUUACUUAUUCAAAUUUGCCUCCAAAAAUCAAUAUGUAUUUUAUUGUCAUAGAGGUAUAUUGAGUUUUUUCAAAAUAAAAAUUAAUGUAAUUCAAUGAGAAA